RNAcentral lists this ribosomal RNA (433 nucleotides) under uncultured bacterium. RNAcentral's name for it is "partial 16S ribosomal RNA". It matches the Rfam family "Bacterial small subunit ribosomal RNA", at positions 29 to 507 of the family's 1533-position model. The record is from RNAcentral.
AACGAACGCUGGCGGCAUGCCUAACACAUGCAAGUCGAACGAGACCUUCGGGUCUAGUGGCGCACGGGUGCGUAACGCGUGGGAACCUGCCCUUAGGUUCGGAAUAACUCCCCGAAAGGGGUGCUAAUAACGGAUAAUGUCUUCGGACCAAAGAUUUAUCGCCUUUGGAUGGGCCCGCGUUGGAUUAGCUAGUUGGUAGGGUAAAAGCCUACCAAGGCGACGAUCCAUAGCUGGUCGGAGAGGAUGAUCCGCCACACUGGGACUGAGACACGGCCCAGACUCCUACGGGAGGCAGCAGUGGGGAAUAUUGGACAAUGGGCGAAAGCCUGAUCCAGCAAUGCCGCGUGAGUGAUGAAGGCCUUAGGGUUGUAAAGCUCUUUUUCCCGGGAUGAUAAUGACAGUACCGGGUGAAUAAGCUCCGGCUAACUCCGUG